RNAcentral lists this ribosomal RNA (468 nucleotides) under uncultured bacterium. RNAcentral's name for it is "partial 16S ribosomal RNA". It matches the Rfam family "Bacterial small subunit ribosomal RNA", at positions 28 to 507 of the family's 1533-position model. The record is from RNAcentral.
GACGAACGCUGGCGGCGUGCUUAACACAUGCAAGUCGAACGGAAAGGCCCUGAUUUUGUGGGGUGCUCGAGUGGCGAACGGGUGAGUAACACGUGAGUAACCUGCCCUUGACUUUGGGGUAACUUCAGGAAACUGGGGCUACUCCCGGAUAGGAGCUCCUGCUGCAUGGUGGGGAUUGGAAAGUUUCGGCGGUUGGGGAUGGACUCGCGGCUUAUGAGCUUGUUGGUGGGGUGGUGGCUUACCAAGGCUUUGACUGGUCGCCGGCCUGUGAGGGUGACCGGGCACAAUGGUACUGAGGGACGGCGCAGAGGGCUACGGGGGGCAGUAGUGGGGAAUAUUGUACAAGGGGAGGAAGCCGGAUGCAGCAACGCUGGGGUCGGGAAGCCGGCCUGCGGGGAGAAAACCGCUUCCGCCUGAUACGAAGCGUGAGUGACGGUAACGGAUAAAGAAGCACCGGCUAACUACGUG